Molecule: ribosomal RNA, 540 nt
Filed under: uncultured Geobacteraceae bacterium
Lineage: Bacteria; Pseudomonadati; Thermodesulfobacteriota; Desulfuromonadia; Geobacterales; Geobacteraceae
Description: bacterial SSU rRNA
Rfam family: Bacterial small subunit ribosomal RNA
Source: RNAcentral
GAGUUUGAUCCUGGCUCAGAACGAACGCUGGCGGCGUGCCUAACACAUGCAAGUCGAACGUGAUCCAGAGCUUGCUCUGGUGAAAGUGGCGCACGGGUGAGUAACGCGUGGAUAACCUACCCUGGUAUCCGGGAUAACAUUCCGAAAGGGGUGCUAAUACCGGAUAAGCCCACGGGCUCUUUGGAGCUUGCGGGAAAAGGUGGCCUCUAUUUAUAAGCUACUGUAUCAGGAUGGGUCCGCGUACCAUUAGCUAGUUGGCGGUGUAACGGACCACCAAGGCGACGAUGGUUAGCUGGUCUGAGAGGAUGAUCAGCCACACUGGAACUGAGACACGGUCCAGACUCCUACGGGAGGCAGCAGUGGGGAAUUUUGCGCAAUGGGGGAAACCCUGACGCAGCAACGCCGCGUGAGUGAUGAAGGCCUUUGGGUCGUAAAGCUCUGUCAGUGGGGAAGAAAUGAUAUAGUGCUAAUACCACCUUAUCUUGACGGUACCCUCAAAGGAAGCACCGGCUAACUCCGUGCCAGCAGCCGCGGUAAUAC